GGUUAAGCGACUAAGCGUACACGGUGGAUGCCCUGGCAGUCAGAGGCGAUGAAGGGCGUGCUAAUCUGCGAUAAGCGCCGGUAAGGUGAUAUGAACCGUUAUAACCGGCGAUACCCGAAUGGGGAAACCCAGUGUGACUCGUCACACUAUCAUUAACUGAAUCCAUAGGUUAAUGAGGCGAACCGGGGGAACUGAAACAUCUAAGUACCCCGAGGAAAAGAAAUCAACCGAGAUUCC
RNAcentral lists this ribosomal RNA (237 nucleotides) under Salmonella enterica subsp. enterica serovar Heidelberg. Its description in RNAcentral is "partial 23S ribosomal RNA". It matches the Rfam family "Bacterial large subunit ribosomal RNA", at positions 1 to 238 of the family's 2925-position model. The record is from RNAcentral. Lineage: Bacteria; Pseudomonadati; Pseudomonadota; Gammaproteobacteria; Enterobacterales; Enterobacteriaceae. RNAcentral also lists the same sequence under 2 other names.